GGUUUUCAUCCAACUUGUUAUAGACGUUUCAUCGAUAAGAAACGAAUUGCCAGUGCUGAAAAACUAGCAGAAAAACGGGGAGCAUGUGGUGGUGACAACAAUGAUUCUGAUUCUGAUCACGAGUCUUCCACAACCACGUCCACGACUAGCCGGCCACCAUCUCCAAAACGGUUGAGAUCCACGACUAAAUCAUCGAGGUCUGGCAAUGUACUUCCUGCUGUCUGUAUAAUUUGCAAGAGGGUUGACCGCUUUGUGAAAGAAGGACUCAAGACAAAGAUAAAUUGGUCCAAGCAGAAACUAUAAAUGCUGGGAGUUUGGUUAAAGCAGCUGAACUGAAAAUGGACGAAUCCAUCCUCAAGGAUGUACGUGGAAAAGAUUGUUUCGCAAUUGAAGUGCGGUACCACAAACGGUGCUACAAAUAAUAUACAAGAUUUCUGGUGGCUACAACAAGUGAUGAAAGGAUGCCAAAAGCCUGGGAGUAUGCCACUGUGUGUCUUCCCCUUCAGAGAAGCUUUUGCUUCUUACAAAGGAUGCCCUCUACCAGCACAGCUUGCAAGCCAAUUAUCAAGCAGCUAUUCACCGGAGAUCGCUUGAGCAACAGAUCUA
Long non-coding RNA from Fundulus heteroclitus (mummichog), 606 nucleotides. RefSeq lists it as uncharacterized. NCBI's taxonomy places the organism in Eukaryota, Metazoa, Chordata, Actinopteri, Cyprinodontiformes, Fundulidae. The transcript has 3 exons. The record is from RefSeq and is a predicted model, not a curated record.